UACCGCGUAGCUCAGUUGGCAGAGCAUUGGGCUAGUAUUCCAAAGGUCGUAGGUUCGAUUUCCACCGUGGUCA
This is a non-coding RNA of Paramuricea clavata, 73 nucleotides long. NCBI's taxonomy places the organism in Eukaryota, Metazoa, Cnidaria, Anthozoa, Malacalcyonacea, Plexauridae. The record is from the annotation of a GenBank genome assembly.